CGCGGCCUAUCAGCUUGUUGGUGGGGUAAUGGCUCACCAAGGCGACGACGGGUAGCCGGCCUGAGAGGGUGACCGGCCACACUGGGACUGAGACACGGCCCAGACUCCUACGGGAGGCAGCAGUGGGGAAUAUUGCACAAUGGGCGGAAGCCUGAUGCAGCGACGCCGCGUGAGGGAUGACGGCCUUCGGGUUGUAAACCUCUUUCAGUAGGGAAGAAGCGAGAGUGACGGUACCUGCAGAAGAAGCGCCGGCUAACUACGUGCCAGCAGCCGCGGUAAUACGUAGGGCGCAAGCGUUGUCCGGAAUUAUUGGGCGUAAAGAGCUCGUAGGCGGUUUGUCGCGUCUGCUGUGAAAGCCCGGGGCUCAACCCCGGGUCUGCAGUGGGUACGGGCAGACUAGAGUGCGGUAGGGGAGACUGGAAUUCCUGGUGUAGCGGUGAAAUGCGCAGAUAUCAGGAGGAACACCGAUGGCGAAGGCAGGUCUCUGGGCUGUUACUGACGCUGAGGAGCGAAAGCAUGGGGAGCGAACAGGAUUAGAUACCCUGGUAGUCCAUGCCGUAAACGUUGGGCACUAGGUGUGGGGGACAUUCCACGUUUUCCGCGCCGUAGCUAACGCAUUAAGUGCCCCGCCUGGGGAGUACGG
RNAcentral lists this ribosomal RNA (643 nucleotides) under uncultured bacterium. Its description in RNAcentral is "bacterial SSU rRNA". It matches the Rfam family "Bacterial small subunit ribosomal RNA", at positions 232 to 885 of the family's 1533-position model. The record is from RNAcentral.